Molecule: transfer RNA, 66 nt
Filed under: Cynoglossus robustus
Lineage: Eukaryota; Metazoa; Chordata; Actinopteri; Pleuronectiformes; Cynoglossidae
Also listed under: 1 other name
Description: tRNA-Cys
Rfam family: tRNA
About the family: Transfer RNA (tRNA) molecules are approximately 80 nucleotides in length. Their secondary structure includes four short double-helical elements and three loops (D, anti-codon, and T loops).
Source: RNAcentral
AGCUCCGAGGUGCUAGCACAUUAGAUUGCAAAUCUGAAGGUGCAGGAUAAUUUCCUGCCGGGGCUU